This 253-nucleotide ribosomal RNA is filed under the name uncultured bacterium. RNAcentral's name for it is "partial 16S ribosomal RNA". It matches the Rfam family "Bacterial small subunit ribosomal RNA", at positions 524 to 776 of the family's 1533-position model. The record is from RNAcentral.
UACAGAGACUGCGAGCGUUAUUCGGAUUCACUGGGCGUAAAGCGCGUUCAGGCGGUUUGGCAAGUCGGGCAUGAAAUCUCUCGGCUCAACCGGGAGAGGUUGUCCGAUACUGCUGGACUUGAGGGCAGUAGAGGGUGGUGGAAUUCCGGGUGUAGUGGUGAAAUGCGUAGAUAUCCGGAGGAACACCAGUGGCGAAAGCGGCCACCUGGACUGCACCUGACGCUGACACGCGAAAGCUAGGGGAGCGAACGGG